Molecule: non-coding RNA, 349 nt
Organism: Anas platyrhynchos (mallard)
Lineage: Eukaryota; Metazoa; Chordata; Aves; Anseriformes; Anatidae
Source: RefSeq, a predicted model, not a curated record
CCAUUUGAAGACUUUCAUAUGGAAUGGGAAUGUUGCUUGAUAUAUGCCAGUAACUCCAGUGAGAAGCACAAUAUUAAAGGGUAAGAUGUAAAAGACAACAGACAGGAUCACUUUCAGAAUCAGCCAUGAACUGGUCAAAGGGAUACAGGAUUUUCGUUUUGCAUCUGUGAGAGCACAUCCCUGCAGUGAUCAGAAGAUUCAGUAAGAAUGGGCGUCAUCACAGAAAACAACAAAUGAACAUUGAACAUAAAUGCCAUACUGAUUAUCACUAAAUAAACAGAAUAAAUAUUUAUAAUGGCUGAAUCUGUAUUCCUCCCCCCCCCGAUUCCUCAACAUCUGGUAAGUCAGG